This 253-nucleotide ribosomal RNA is filed under the name uncultured bacterium. RNAcentral describes it as "partial 16S ribosomal RNA". It matches the Rfam family "Bacterial small subunit ribosomal RNA", at positions 524 to 776 of the family's 1533-position model. The record is from RNAcentral.
UACGUAGGGUCCGAGCGUUGUCCGGAAUUACUGGGCGUAAAGAGCUCGUAGGUGGUUUGUCGCGUUGUCCGUGAAAACUCACAGCUCAACUGUGGGCGUGCGGGCGAUACGGGCAGACUGGAGUACUGCAGGGGAGACUGGAAUUCCUGGUGUAGCGGUGGAAUGCGCAGAUAUCAGGAGGAACACCGGUGGCGAAGGCGGGUCUCUUGGCAGUAACUGACGCUGAGACACGAAAGCGUGGGGAGCAAACAGG